AUGUUUCAAGUGUGCCUUAGGCAACCCUAUUAUAAAAUCUAUAGUGAUAUGUUCCCAUUUCUACUCUAAUAUUGGUGAUAACUGAAAUAGUCUGCUCAGACGUUGAUGCUCUACUUUAACCUACUGACAUACAAGGUACUUGAAAACGAAAUCAAUAAUUUCUCUUUUUAUCCUACUCUACCAGAAUCGAGAUCACAUAUUUUGGUACAUCUUAAUACUUUCGAGCUGCAUGGUGAACUUUGAACU
This 246-nucleotide long non-coding RNA is filed under the name Carica papaya (papaya). RNAcentral describes it as "long non-coding RNA (CPAP_LNC014281)". Lineage: Eukaryota; Viridiplantae; Streptophyta; Magnoliopsida; Brassicales; Caricaceae. The record is from RNAcentral.